AAGUCGUAACAAGGUUUCCGUAGGUGAACCUGCGGAAGGAUCAUUACAACGUAUCCACGUACCAAACUCUCGCACUGUUCCCAACGGAGUAAAACACUUGUGGAUGAAGUUAAUGGCUGACUGCCUUUUGCUGAUGGAGUCCGCUGACUUUUGUCAGAGGGCUGAAAGGCUUUCGGUCGCCAAGAGGCAGUUUGUCUCUGGGACUUCGUUUGCUCCGUUGCGGUUUUACCUACCGUCAGCGUCGUUUUACUACUAUUAACCCUUUGAAUUUCUGAACUGAACUUGAAAGCCUCGCGGCAGUCCUUGCUGGCCUCGGUCACGGACAUUGCCGUUUGGUUUUUCUGAUUUACGAAACAAAGAACAACUCUUAGCAACGGAUAUCUUGGUUCUC
Molecule: unclassified non-coding RNA, 391 nt
Filed under: fungal sp.
Lineage: Eukaryota; Fungi
Also listed under: 1 other name
Description: partial internal transcribed spacer region
Rfam family: Eukaryotic small subunit ribosomal RNA (bases 1-46)
Source: RNAcentral